This 244-nucleotide long non-coding RNA is filed under the name Salvia miltiorrhiza (redroot sage). Its description in RNAcentral is "long non-coding RNA (SMIL_LNC009380)". Lineage: Eukaryota; Viridiplantae; Streptophyta; Magnoliopsida; Lamiales; Lamiaceae. The record is from RNAcentral.
UACAUCCCACCUCGACUUCACACAACAUCACAUUUCUUCUCAAGAGAUUGUCACACGUCGGAAUUCUGUUCUUCAAAAUUCUCCAUGCGGUAAGCUUGACUUUGUUUGGAAUAGGGAUCUUCCACACCUUCGUACUCAUAUCAGUUUCCUCCACCGCCUCCGUAGUCUCGUUUGCUUGAUCUUUAAUAGCUUCAUAAGCGGACUUGGUUGUAAAGCCUCUCCCGAUGUCGCCACUCCAUGUCCA